CUCUGUCAUAAUCUGGAAUGAUGAUAUCAAUCAAGUGAAGCAGCUAUCACAGGGUCUGGAACAUAGUACAUCCCAGCCUUCUUGCACAUAGAAACACUACACAGCACUUCAGCUGUAUGUUUGGGGGCCAUUUUAAACAGCAAAAUCAUCAACAGGAAGCAGAAAAUUGUAAAAAUUGUGGCACUAAAUAGACCAUGUAAAGGACACAUGUUUGCAAUAAGAAAGCUGAAACAAGAAGGGGGAGUGUCACCUUAUUUGAUCCAGCUAGAAACUCAGGUGCUGGUAUUCCAGCAACACUCAGGCGGCUGCUCCAGGAGGCUGCAGAGGGGUCCUUUUUAGCCGUCAACAAAACUGGCUAUGGUCACGCCCAUUGGGAAACUCAUUGCUGCCUUCAAGGUGGAAGUUAAAGUCAUCACAGUUCUUUCAUGAAAGGAGAAAACUUCUACAUAGAAGAUGAGAAGCUUCUUUGGGGCAGAGACUAUAGACUCAGAAGCUGUAGGAAUAUUCAGGCACAGACACCAGACCCAGCUUCAUCUCUAACUUGUGGCAAAGGACAGUACAUCCUGGGAUGGGACCCUAUGCUCCCCUAUGCCAUUUAGACAGAGCCUGGGGAGAGUGACUUCCCAGGGUAUCCAUGUUGGAAUCUCUCAUUUGAUUCUUAUUCAAAUUUAGGUUCUGUCAAUAGAAGAUACUAAAGAAAGAAAGCCAGGAGAAGAAAAGGGACUUCUUUCUUCAAGGUCUAAGCUGUUCUAAUAGCAUUAUUCUGGGAAUGGCAUCUUCCACUCCUCCUAGUACAAAGAACCUGCUUCCUCAUACCCCGUCAAGGAACUGCAGCAUCCAGGUGAUGGCCACAGUGGCAGAACCUAGGAAGCCAAGAAGAAACCAGAGAAUGGAGACACAUGGCAGCAAUGGCAAGUCAUCAGACCCAGGAUUUCCCAAAGAACACUGGUCCAGGAAGAUGCUCUGUGAAAAAGUGUUCCCUGGUCGGAGAAAUUUGUGAAACACUUUGCAUAAUACUUAAAAGAAUGUAUGGCACAUCAAAGAUCUUAUAACAGUCUCCGCAGGAAGCAGCUGCAGUCAUUAGCCAUAGGACAGACUAAACACACAAUCUGCAUGGAAGGAGGCCUGGAUCAGCUUGGUCUUUCAGAUCUCUAAUCUCAGGCACAGGAAAGCACCAUCAACAGCACCCUUUGUAUAUAUACAUAAAGGUAACAUAUUUUAUCAUUUAAAGGGAUUUGAGAAAUUGAAGAGGCCCAACUCUUUUUCUGCCUUCUUUGGUUUGAGGCUUAGAUUGCUUAAGGGGCUUGCCCAGGAUCACAUAUCUUGUAAGAGACAGAGCAAGGAUUCAAAGCCAGUGCUGGCUUCUGUGUCUCCAUUCUUUCCAUUCUCCUCCAGUGGCUCUUUUGGGAAGCUGAGGGAGGAACAGCAGCAGAAUUGGGUGGCACCUGCCCAUGCCCAUCAUGC
This 1464-nucleotide long non-coding RNA is filed under the name Homo sapiens (human). Its description in RNAcentral is "HSALNT0394502". Lineage: Eukaryota; Metazoa; Chordata; Mammalia; Primates; Hominidae. The record is from RNAcentral.